Molecule: long non-coding RNA, 327 nt
Filed under: Homo sapiens (human)
Lineage: Eukaryota; Metazoa; Chordata; Mammalia; Primates; Hominidae
Description: HSALNT0143396
Source: RNAcentral
AGCCCCACUCUCAUCCUACUCUCAACUCUUUCCUGACUUCCUACAGUGGGUUUUAACGUCUCCUCAAAGUAGAAUGCAGAUGGAUUAUUGCUCAGUUUUGGCUAGGGAAGCUCCAAGUAGCCCCAGAAAGUCAAGGUGCCUGAUAAGUUACUGGAAGGCCACAGUGAACCUUCCAGUAGAAAGAGUUUCAAAUGAGCAUGAAUGCCUAAACUGCUGAUAUCCCUGUUGCGGCUCCAGAUCCUUCUGACUUAUCAACCCAGAGGUACCUAGUCUGAAGGAACCUCUUGUGGAACAUUGGCAAGACCCUUACUGAGCAGAAGCCUAGCA